RNAcentral lists this transfer RNA (73 nucleotides) under Halovenus carboxidivorans. It matches the Rfam family "tRNA". From Rfam's summary of the family: Transfer RNA (tRNA) molecules are approximately 80 nucleotides in length. Lineage: Archaea; Methanobacteriati; Methanobacteriota; Halobacteria; Halobacteriales; Haloarculaceae. The record is from Rfam by way of RNAcentral.
GGGCGUGUGGCCUAGCGGACAGGGCGAGGGGUUCCUAACCCCUCGAUCCCGGGUUCGAAUCCCGGCACGCUCG